CUACGGGACGCAGCAGUAAGGAAUAUUGCGCAAUGGAGGCAACUCUGACGCAGCCAUGCCGCGUGCAGGAAGAAGGCCUUAUGGGUCGUAAACUGCUUUUAUUUAGGAAUAAACCCCCGAACGUGUUCGGGGCUGAAGGUACUAAACGAAUAAGCACCGGCUAACUCCGUGCCAGCAGCCGCGGUAGUACGGAGGGUGCAAGCGUUAUCCGGAUUUAUUGGGUUUAAAGGGUGCGCAGGCGGGCUAUUAAGUCAGUGGUGAAAUCCCGGGGCUCAACUCCGGAACUGCCAUUGAUACUGAUAGUCUUGAGUUUGGUUGAAGUGGGCGGAAUGUAGCAUGUAGCGGUGAAAUGCAUAGAUAUGCUACAGAACACCAAUCGCGAAGGCAGCUCACUAAGCCAAAACUGACGCUCAUGCACGAAAGCGUGGGGAUCAAACAGGAUUAGAUACCCGGGUAGUC
RNAcentral lists this ribosomal RNA (459 nucleotides) under uncultured bacterium. RNAcentral's name for it is "partial 16S ribosomal RNA". It matches the Rfam family "Bacterial small subunit ribosomal RNA", at positions 339 to 795 of the family's 1533-position model. The record is from RNAcentral.